This 292-nucleotide ribosomal RNA is filed under the name uncultured bacterium. Its description in RNAcentral is "partial 16S ribosomal RNA". It matches the Rfam family "Bacterial small subunit ribosomal RNA", at positions 335 to 618 of the family's 1533-position model. The record is from RNAcentral.
ACUCCUACGGGAGGCAGCAGUGGGGAAUAUUGCACAAUGGGCGCAAGCCUGAUGCAGCCAUGCCGCGUGUAUGAAGAAGGCCUUCGGGUUGUAAAGUACUUUACAGGCAGUGNGAAGGUGGGUAUGUUAAUAGCAUAUUCAUUUGACGUUAGCUGCAGAAGAAGCACCGGCUAACUCCGUGCCAGCAGCCGCGGUAAUACGGAGGGUGCGAGCGUUAAUCGGAAUUACUGGGCGUAAAGCGCAUGCAGGUGGUUUGUUAAGUCAGAUGUGAAAGCCCGGGGCUCAACCUCGG